Molecule: ribosomal RNA, 253 nt
Filed under: uncultured bacterium
Lineage: Bacteria
Description: partial 16S ribosomal RNA
Rfam family: Bacterial small subunit ribosomal RNA
Source: RNAcentral
UACGUAGGGUGCAAGCGUUGUCCGGAAUUAUUGGGCGUAAAGAGCUCGUAGGCGGUUCGUCGCGUCGGCUGUGAAAUCCCGAGGCUCAACCUCGGGUCUGCAGUCGAUACGGGCGGACUGGAGUUCGGCAGGGGAGACUGGAAUUCCUGGUGUAGCGGUGAAAUGCGCAGAUAUCAGGAGGAACACCGGUGGCGAAGGCGGCUAUCUGGACGACAACUGACGCUGAGGCGCGAAAGUGUGGGGAUCAAACAGG